CCAGGGCCAUCUUACCAUCUCCUUGUUCUGCCUUCCCCCUUGAUAGGAGCAAUUCAUUGAGCUGUGCAAGACGCUAUACAACAUGUUCAGUGAGGACCCCCUGGAGCAGGACUUGUACCACGCCAUUGCCACAGUGGCCAGCCUCCUCCGCAUCAGUGAGUGGUCAGCAUGGGCUCCCUGCAGUGUGAGAACCCCACAGCCACUGCCCGCAUUGGGAACACCAUGGACGCAGACUGGUGCAUCUCCUUCAAGCAGAUCCUGGCCUCCAUCCUGCCGGAGUCUGUGCUGGUCAACUUCUUUGAGAAAAGGGUGGACAUUGGACUCAAGAUGAAGGACCAGAAGAAAGUAGAGACAGUUGAGUGCCUCCAGUGAGCACGAGCCAUCUGUUGCUCUGGGCUGAGCCCCUUGGCUGAGUGAUUCUGGCCGAGGCCUCUGU
This is a long non-coding RNA of Ochotona curzoniae (black-lipped pika), 436 nucleotides long. RefSeq lists it as uncharacterized. The record is from RefSeq and is a predicted model, not a curated record. The transcript has 2 exons. NCBI's taxonomy places the organism in Eukaryota, Metazoa, Chordata, Mammalia, Lagomorpha, Ochotonidae.